Molecule: ribosomal RNA, 482 nt
Filed under: uncultured bacterium
Lineage: Bacteria
Description: partial 16S ribosomal RNA
Rfam family: Bacterial small subunit ribosomal RNA
Source: RNAcentral
GACGAACGCUGGCGGCGUGCCUAACACAUGCAAGUCGAACGAUGAAGCCCAGCUUGCUGGGUGGAUUAGUGGCGAACGGGUGAGUAACACGUGGGCAACCUGCCCCAAACUCUGGGAUAACUCCUCGAAAGAGGUGCUAAUACCGGAUACGAACUAGACAGACAUCUGUACUAGUUGGAAAGUUUUUCGGUUUGGGAUGGGCCCGCGGCCUAUCAGCUUGUUGGUGAGGUAACGGCUCACCAAGGCUACGACGGGUAACCGGCCUGAGAGGGCGACCGGCCACACUGGGACUGAGACACGGCCCAGACUCCUACGGGAGGCAGCAGUGGGGAAUAUUGCGCAAUGGGCGAAAGCCUGACGCAGCGACGCCGCGUGAGGGAUGAAGGUCUUCGGAUCGUAAACCUCUUUCAGUAGGGACGAAGCGAAAGUGACGGUACCUAAAGAAGAAGCACCGGCUAACUACGUGCCAGCCGCCGCGGUAA